GGGCUUGCUUCAGCAGCUCAUAUACUAAAAUUGGAACAAUACAGGGAUUAGCAUGGCCUCUGCGCAAGGAUGACAUGAAAAUCCGUGAAGCAUUCCAUGUUUUA
Small nuclear RNA from Grammomys surdaster, 104 nucleotides. The record is from RefSeq and is a predicted model, not a curated record. Lineage: Eukaryota; Metazoa; Chordata; Mammalia; Rodentia; Muridae.